UAGAUGCACUAGGGGUGUUUUUUUAACUGAGAUGAGUAUUAACUCGAACCCUUUGAACCUGAACUAGAUCGUACUAGCGUAGGAAAGUGUUUGUGAAAAGAA
This 102-nucleotide non-coding RNA is filed under the name Staphylococcus aureus. Its description in RNAcentral is "TPP sequence". It matches the Rfam family "TPP riboswitch aptamer (THI element)". Rfam says of the family: Vitamin B(1) in its active form thiamin pyrophosphate (TPP) is an essential coenzyme that is synthesised by coupling of pyrimidine and thiazole moieties in bacteria. Lineage: Bacteria; Bacillati; Bacillota; Bacilli; Caryophanales; Staphylococcaceae. The record is from RNAcentral.